This 1446-nucleotide ribosomal RNA is filed under the name metagenome. RNAcentral describes it as "bacterial SSU rRNA". It matches the Rfam family "Bacterial small subunit ribosomal RNA". The record is from RNAcentral.
AGAGUUUGAUCCUGGCUCAGGAUGAACGCUGGCGGUAUGCCUAACACAUGCAAGUCGAACGGUGUCUUCGGACACAGUGGCGGACGGGUGAGUAACGCGUGAGAAUCUGCCUCUAGGUUGGGGACAACAGUUGGAAACGACUGCUAAUACCCGACGUGCCGUAAGGUAAAAGAUUUAUUGCCUGGAGAGGAGCUCGCGUCUGAUUAGCUAGUUGGUGGGGUAAAAGCCUACCAAGGCAGCGAUCAGUAGCUGGUCUGAGAGGAUGAGCAGCCACACUGGGACUGAGACACGGCCCAGACUCCUACGGGAGGCAGCAGUGGGGAAUUUUCCGCAAUGGCGAAAGCCUGACGGAGCAAUACCGCGUGAGGGAGGAAGGCCUUUGGGUUGUAAACCUCUUUUCUCAGGGAAGAAGAUCUGACGGUACCUGAGGAAUAAGCAUCGGCUAACUCCGUGCCAGCAGCCGCGGUAAUACGGAGGAUGCAAGCGUUAUCCGGAAUCAUUGGGCGUAAAGCGUCCGCAGGUGGUUUUUCAAGUCUGCUGUUAAAGACUGGAGCUCAACUCCGGAAAGGCAGUGGAAACUGAGAAACUAGAGUUCGGUAGGGGUAGCGGGAAUUCCCAGUGUAGCGGUGAAAUGCGUAGAUAUUGGGAAGAACAUCGGUGGCGAAGGCGCGCUACUGGACCGAAACUGACACUCAGGGACGAAAGCUAGGGGAGCGAAAGGGAUUAGAUACCCCUGUAGUCCUAGCUGUAAACGAUGGAAACUAGGUGUGGCUUGUAUCGACCCGAGCCGUGCCGUAGCUAACGCGUUAAGUUUCCCGCCUGGGGAGUACGCACGCAAGUGUGAAACUCAAAGGAAUUGACGGGGGCCCGCACAAGCGGUGGAGUAUGUGGUUUAAUUCGAUGCAACGCGAAGAACCUUACCAGGGCUUGACAUGUCGCGAAUCUCCUUGAAAGGGGAGAGUGCCUUCGGGAGCGCGAACACAGGUGGUGCAUGGCUGUCGUCAGCUCGUGUCGUGAGAUGUUGGGUUAAGUCCCGCAACGAGCGCAACCCUCGUCUUUAGUUGCCAGCAUUAAGGUGGGCACUUUAGAGAGACUGCCGGUGACAAACCGGAGGAAGGUGGGGAUGACGUCAAGUCAGCAUGCCCCUUACGCCCUGGGCUACACGCGUACUACAAUGGUUGGGACAAAGGGCAGCGACCCCGCGAGGGAAAGCGAAUCUCAUCAAACCCAGCCUCAGUUCAGAUUGCAGGCUGCAACUCGCCUGCAUGAAGGAGGAAUCGCUAGUAAUCGCAGGUCAGCAUACUGCGGUGAAUUCGUUCCCGGGCCUUGUACACACCGCCCGUCACACCAUGGAAGCUGGUCACGCCCGAAGUAGUUACCCUAACCUUUCGGGGGGGGGGACUCCUAAGGCAGGGCUAGUGACUGGGGUGAAGUCGUAACAAGGUA